AUUGAACGCUGGCGGAAUGCUUUACACAUGCAAGUCGAACGGUAGAGGGGCAACCCUUGAGAGUGGCGAACGGGUGAGUAAUGUAUCGGAACAUGCCCAGUCGUGGGGGAUAACGUAGCGAAAGUUACGCUAAUACCGCAUACGAUCUAUGGAUGAAAGCGGGGGAUCGCAAGACCUCGCGCGAUUGGAGUGGCCGAUAUCAGAUUAGGUAGUUGGUGGGGUAAAGGCCUACCAAGCCGACGAUCUGUGGCUGGUCUGAGAGGACGACCAGCCACACUGGGACUGAGACACGGCCCAGACUCCUACGGGAGGCAGCAGUGGGGAAUUUUGGACAAUGGGCGCAAGCCUGAUCCAGCCAUUCCGCGUGCAGGAAGAAGGCCUUCGGGUUGUAAACUGCUUUUGUACGGAACGAAACGCGCUGAGCUAAUACCUCGGCGUAAUGACGGUACCGUAAGAAUAAGCACCGGCUAACUACGUGCCAGCAGCCGCUGUAA
This 494-nucleotide ribosomal RNA is filed under the name uncultured bacterium. RNAcentral's name for it is "partial 16S ribosomal RNA". It matches the Rfam family "Bacterial small subunit ribosomal RNA", at positions 30 to 523 of the family's 1533-position model. The record is from RNAcentral.